Molecule: ribosomal RNA, 803 nt
Filed under: uncultured bacterium
Lineage: Bacteria
Description: bacterial SSU rRNA
Rfam family: Bacterial small subunit ribosomal RNA
Source: RNAcentral
AGAGUUUGAUCCUGGCUCAGAUUGAACGCUGGCGGCAGGCCUAACACAUGCAAGUCGAGCGGUAGCACAGAGAAGCUUGCUUCUUGGGUGACGAGCGGCGGACGGGUGAGUAACGCGUGGGAAUCUACCUGGUAGUGGGGGACAACAGUCGGAAACGACUGCUAAUACCGCAUACGCCCUUCGGGGGAAAGUGGGGGAUCUUCGGACCUCACGCUAUCAGAUGAGCCCGCGUCGGAUUAGCUUGUUGGUGAGGUAAAGGCUCACCAAGGCGAUGAUCCGUAGCUGGUCUGAGAGGAUGACCAGCCACACUGGGACUGAGACACGGCCCAGACUCCUACGGGAGGCAGCAGUGGGGAAUAUUGGACAAUGGGGGCAACCCUGAUCCAGCCAUGCCGCGUGUGUGAAGAAGGCCUUCGGGUUGUAAAGCACUUUCAGCUGUGAGGAAAGGCGAGUGGUUAAUACCCGCUUACUGUGACGUUAACAGCAGAAGAAGGACCGGCUAACUCCGUGCCAGCAGCCGCGGUAAUACGGAGGGUCCGAGCGUUAAUCGGAAUUACUGGGCGUAAAGCGCGCGUAGGUGGUUCAGUCAGUCAGAUGUGAAAGCCCCGGGCUCAAUCUGGGAACUGCACCUGAUACUGCUGAGCUAGAGUACGGUAGAGGGUAGUGGAAUUUCCGGUGUAGCGGUGAAAUGCGUAGAGAUCGGAAGGAACACCAGUGGCGAAGGCGACUACCUGGACCGAUACUGACACUGAGGUGCGAAAGCGUGGGUAGCAAACAGGAUUAGAUACCCUGGUAGUCCACGC